Long non-coding RNA from Mastomys coucha (southern multimammate mouse), 913 nucleotides. RefSeq lists it as uncharacterized. The transcript has 3 exons. Lineage: Eukaryota; Metazoa; Chordata; Mammalia; Rodentia; Muridae. The record is from RefSeq and is a predicted model, not a curated record.
AAAACAACAGUUAUGAGAACAGUCUGAUGGAAACACUGCAACUGGAUUCCUCUUCAAGGUUUUUAUGUAAUGAGGAGAAGGGGUUCAUGAUCAACCUUGCUUGAUGGCUGAGACCUGCUUUGGAAAAAUGAGGCAAAUGUGCUCAGGCUCUGAAAGAGGGAGAAUUUGUCUUCUGAUACACAUUUCUAUCUUCAGAAAUUCCUGACAAUCUUCAGCCCUGUUAAAGUAUGAAAAAUAUGUCACUAGUGUUGACUGACUCAAUACAGAGGCUAUUAAUUAAUAAACAUAAUUACACGCUGCCUCUAUGGUAUUUAUCGGAGCUAGACAGUGAAGGAACUUCCAGGAAGAACCUGAAGCUUUGCCUUGAUUCUGUCAAUGGUCAGGACCUGGAUGACCUCAAAUACUCCAUGCAGGGGCCAGAGAGCCACAAGGUCCUUGUCCUCUCAGCUCUAACACCGGAGACCAAGGCCAGUACAUCUGACUUCAAGAUUUUCAACUUUUUAAAUAUUCAGAAGAGCCCUGGAUGACAAGCAAGCAGGAAUUAGUCACGGGAAAUUAGGGACCAAAGAAUUCAAGUAAUUGAUUCAGAUUUACAGCAGGAGCAAGACUGAAUUUGUCUACAUUUUUAGUCCAGAAGUCCUGGAAUGUGGAAAGAAUGAGAACCCUUCAUCCUGGAAUGCACCACCUCGAAGUUACUCAUGUGGGGGAGUUUCGAGGGAAGAGAGUAGAAUCUUAAGAGAAAUGAACAAGCACUGCAAGAACAAAAAUGAUUGGUGGGAUUGUGCUGUGGUGCCAAAAAGGUUGCAUGCUGAAGAGUUUGCAUUUCCUAGAGACAAGAAAGUAGGGCUUUGCUGGGAAAUCCUGAAUUUCUCAACGCCGGCGGUCAGUUAUUAAACUGAGUUUUUACAGGAAA